This is a non-coding RNA of Ciona savignyi (Pacific transparent sea squirt), 83 nucleotides long. NCBI's taxonomy places the organism in Eukaryota, Metazoa, Chordata, Ascidiacea, Phlebobranchia, Cionidae. The record is from Rfam.
GGCAGGAUGGCCGAGUGGUCUAAGGCGCUGCGUUCAGGUCGCAGUCUCCCCUGGAGGCGCGGGUUCAAAUCCCGCUCCUGUCA